AUUAUUAUAUAAAAAAAAAAAGAGAUUAUUCAACGAAUAAUCCUCAUAUGCAAUGUAGUGCCUGUAAUGCAUGACAAAAAGCAACCAACCUGAAAAUUAACACAAGGAUGAAAUUGUAAAACACAUAACAUAAUAUCAAAACCAAUAUGUCCCAAGACAUCUUUAAGAAAUUAAGAAACCUUCUUAAACACUACAAAACCUAACUUCACCUAACAGCACGAAUACAGUAAACACCAUCAAAUAAUAUCCAACACCACAUCAACUUUGUGGCGAUGUUUUUGCAACUCCACCCUGUUGUACAGGCUGUGAUGCAGCCGAUGCAGUAUCAUAAGUUGCACGAGUAUUAUUGCCAGUAUUGCCAUCAGUAGAAUACGAAGCAGGCUGAGAAUAACCACCACCAUAAGAAGUGUUGUAAGGCGGCAUCCCCUGCCCAUAACCGGAUUGACCAGCUGGUGCUGAACCAUAAGGUGGACCAUACCCAGGUUGAGAACCUGAUGCACCAAACCCAGAUGGUGGUGGACGUUGUGGACCUGAAUCUGAUUGGGUAUAGCCAGAUGGUGGUGGCUGAGAAGGUGGAUAUCCAGGCUGCACAGGGGUAGCCUGGCCAUAACCUCCAGGGGUGCUGGGUGAUUGUUGUGUCUGUCCAUAAACAGGGGGAUUGGCUGGAGGUUUCUGUGCUUGAGGAGGUCCAUAGUUGGACCCAUAUCCAGGUUGGGCUGGUGGUUGACUCCCAUAACCAGUUUGGGAAUUGGGGGUCAUUCCAUAUCCUGGCUGGAUGGAUCCUUGAGGUGUAUAACUUGAUGGAUUUGGGCUAGGCUGUUGUCCAGUAGUAUAACCUUGCUGACCUAUUGCAGCGGGCUGACUUGGUGCUUGGGCCGAGUCUCCUUGGGCUCCAUAAGAGGAAGCAUGUCCUUCUUGACUAGCAUUGGCCACAUUACCAUAACUGGGAGCAGAGGUAUAACCUUGUUGAUCAUAUGGUGGUGGUUGACCAUAACCUGAUUGAGGAUACCCACCAUAGCCAUCCUGAACAUAACCUUGUCCUUGCUGAUUAUAACCAGAAGCUGGUGGCUGACUGUAAUUAUAGCUCGUAUUAUCUGCUGGAGCUGCAGGACCACCAGGGGUUGGUUGAGAAGAAGCUGGCUGAUUAUAGUAAUCAUAACCCUGACCUGUCUGCUGAUUGACAGAUACAUUUGACUGAUCCCAGUUGGUGGGAUAUCCACCAGAUGAUGGUUGGGGUGGAUAUCCCGCGUAAGGUGGCUGAGACAUAUUAUACUGAGACGAUGGGCCAGGAUAAGCUCCAGGCUGCAUGUAGCCAUAACCAGGUUGCUGCAUUGGAGGAGCUCCAGGUGGGCCCCAGCUUGUAGGUGGUCGUGUUUGAUAUCCUUGCUGCGGGUAACCUCCAGCCAUUGAUUGAUUCCUUGCACGAUUCUGCAUAAAAUCAUUUUUGCCCCAAAUAAACCAAGCGAGCUUUGCACAAGUGCCAGCAUAUAGACAUAUUGUGUGACACAAUAUAUGUAUACAUAUAAACAAUUAAGAAAACUAAAAACAAGCACAUCUAGAAAUCAGCAUAAAACAACAGGCAAGCAUGUCCAAUGUAGGGAUUAAUGGAUUUCAUAUUUUAUCAGGAAGGGGUAUGAAUGCCUACAUACCGUACUUGGUUGAUGGAAUUAUUGAGUUACUCCUGCAGAAGCCCAUCCUCUCCCUACUUGAAGUGAAUGGGUACAAAAAGAAUCCAAAAAAAAAUAUACUAUACAAGCUUUACCACAAAAGUAAAGAUAAAUACACAGAUCUCACUGCCACAAUCAGGCAAUGAGUUCAUAUUCAUAUUAAGUGCAUGCUGCUAUGAUAUAGUACCUAUUUGAUGCACUGUAACUAACGGAAGCAACAAUACAAUAAGGGCAUUAACAAGUAAUUAUAUCCAUUAAUUUUAACAAAACCUAACAAAUUUAUGUGCACAUGCAAUACAGUAUCAGAAUUUACCAUACAACAAACAGCUGUGCGCAAAAAGUAAGUACACAAAAAUAGUUUAAACCAAUUUAAACUUAAGGGAUAAACAUUUGUAUACAAAAAGAAGGCAUACAUUACAUACCCAAAAAUACCAUGUGAUAGAUGAAAAACAACUAGUCAACUUCACCACACAAGCCUUUAGCAAUUGUGAGAAUAUUUCAUAAAUAUGGAAAACCAAAUGAGAGUGCAUUACGAUCUUUCAAAAUGAACACAACAACAAAACAAAAUAGAGACACCACAAAUGCCAGAGUAGCAGAAAGCAAUACAAUAGAUCAACAUGACCUCAAAGGCUUGGAGAUUGUGUGAAAGAAAGGAAUCCAGAAAAACAAGCCAAGCAAUGUUGCCAGAGAAUGCAACCAAUAAUUACUAUCGGAGACUAACACAAGUAAAUUAUAACUAGAAUUAAAACACUAAUAAAUAUUCAAAAUGAACUAUAGAAGCUUCAUAUUAUAAGAAGAAAGCAAAUGAAAAUGUUCCUAAAAGUUGAGUCAAAUUAAAACCACCAAAAUCAGUUGUAGUAUAUAAGAUGACGCAACAGUUAUCAUCAUUAAGGCACUCAGUAGCAAAACUAAGGGGCACUCCUAACAACAGAAAUUAUCCCAAAGGCUUGUGGCCCAAAAACUAAUCCAAUCUCAUGAGAUUGUACUCCUCAUAAGUAAAGUCGCUUCUCUGCAGAAUAUAAUUCACUAUACAUCAAAAAAUGGGAUUUAGAGCCAUACCAGAGCAAUGCCGAGGAAACACCAACACAAAGGAAUGCAUGUUGGUGUCACCAAAAGUCCAAUAACACUAACCCUACAAUAGUUCCCAAUAACAACAUCAGUCACAUGACACGAUCAAUAAGCACAGAUGGUGGUAGAACAGACUAUAAUCCAAAAACUAUUCACCUGGGAAUACAAACCAAGAACUACGGAAAUAUUGGGCUAAAACAAUAAAAAAAUUAUAACAAUGGCCUUAUGAGCUAAACAUAUAAAGAAUACACUUGCCCGGCGAGCGAAGGAUCCAAGAUAUCAACAUAUCACUAACAACCAUAUAACAGAAGUAAUCACUCUCAAUAAAAUAUUAGCACUUUGAACUUUAAUUUCAUCUGUCUUGCAAUUAACCCACAUACCCACCAACCUCAAACAUAUGUUGGCAGACACUAUGAAUAUAGACCGAAGAAAUUGUUGCAGUUGGCAAGACAUAGACAAUAAAGACUUACACACAUUGUCACUCACAACUUGAUCUCAGAAAUUCAGAUAUAUAUCAAGCAAUGCACAUUACCAUGCUAACCAGCUCCUAAUAUAAGACUAUAAGCCAGCAAAUUUUAAUAAAUAGGCCAGGAGUCAGUCUCUCUUCCCCUCUUCCAGACGUCAGUUUGACAAAAGGGCAAAAAUUCUUAACCAGCUAAAGCUGUAAAUGCCAGGAGGAUCAGCAACCAGAAGAUAUCUGCAACUUUCUCAAUCUAAAUAGUCCACAAGGGAAGAAUAUAAAUUGAUACAUCUAACACAUUUGUUGAUAACCAAAAAGUUGCCUCAGGAAAUUAUGGUUUGGAAAAAGACCCAAUUAUAUUCACAGUAAUGACAUAUCUUGAAACAUAUCACACAGACAAGAAAAGAAAUUAGGCGAAAUAUAAAGAGAAUAGUAAAAUCAAUUUCUAUUUCCAUGCUAAGGAGUACGAUGAUGAAUAUUCAAAACUAAGACAGCUCAAUAACAAGAAGACAAGCCAGAACCAUAAAGCAACUAAAAUGACAAACUAAACAACUUAAGACAAAGAUAGAAGCUCUAUUGAAAUAUUUAAGAAAUGAAAGGAAGAAUUAAAUAAGGUAAGCAGAUGAAGGGAGAGGCGCGGGGGGGGUGGGGUUGGGAUUUGGGGAGAUGACUCAAAUGACAAACAAACUAAAUAGAUUAAGACAAAGAUAGAAGCUCUAU
Molecule: unclassified non-coding RNA, 3915 nt
Filed under: Hevea brasiliensis (rubber tree)
Lineage: Eukaryota; Viridiplantae; Streptophyta; Magnoliopsida; Malpighiales; Euphorbiaceae
Source: RNAcentral